GAUGAACGCUGGCGGCGUGCCUAAUACAUACAAGUCGAGCGAACGGACGAGAAGCUUGCUUCUCUGAUGUUAGCGGCGGACGGGUGAGUAACACGUGGAUAACCUACCUAUAAGACUGGGAUAACUUCGGGAAACCGGAGCUAAUACCGGAUAAUAUUUUGAACCGCAUGGUUCAAAAGUGAAAGACGGUCUUGCUGUCACUUAUAGAUGGAUCCGCGCUGCAUUAGCUAGUUGGUAAGGUAACGGCUUACCAAGGCAACGAUGCAUAGCCGACCUGAGAGGGUGAUCGGCCACACUGGAACUGAGACACGGUCCAGACUCCUACGGGAGGCAGCAGUAGGGAAUCUUCCGCAAUGGGCGAAAGCCUGACGGAGCAACGCCGCGUGAGUGAUGAAGGUCUUCGGAUCGUAAAACUCUGUUAUUAGGGAAGAACAUAUGUGUAAGUAACUGUGCACAUCUUGACGGUACCUAAUCAGAAAGCCACGGCUAACUACGUGCCAGCAGCCGCGGUAAUACGUAGGUGGCAAGCGUUAUCCCGGAAUAUUGGGCGUAAAGCGCGCGUAGGCGGUUUUUUAAGUCUGAUGUGAAAGCCCACGGCUCAACCGUGGAGGGUCAUUGGAAACUGGAAAACUUGAGUGCAGAAGAGGAAAGUGGAAUUCCAUGUGUAGCGGUGAAAUGCGCAGAGAUAUGGAGGAACACCAGUGGCGAAGGCGACUUUCUGGUCUGUAACUGACGCUGAUGUGCGAAAGCGUGGGGAUCAAACAGGAUUAGAUACCCUGGUAGUCCGCGCCGUAAACGAUGAGUGCUAAGUGUUAGGGGGUUUCCGCCCCUUAGUGCUGCAGCUAACGCAUUAAGCACUCCGCCUGGGGAGUACGACCGCAAGGUUGAAACUCAAAGGAAUUGACGGGGACCCGCACAAGCGGUGGAGCAUGUGGUUUAAUUCGAAGCAACGCGAAGAACCUUACCAAAUCUUGACAUCCUUUGACAACUCUAGAGAUAGAGCCUUCCCCUUCGGGGGACAAAGUGACAGGUGGUGCAUGGUUGUCGUCAGCUCGUGUCGUGAGAUGUUGGGUUAAGUCCCGCAACGAGCGCAACCCUUAAGCUUAGUUGCCAUCAUUAAGUUGGGCACUCUAAGUUGACUGCCGGUGACAAACCGGAGGAAGGUGGGGAUGACGUCAAAUCAUCAUGCCCCUUAUGAUUUGGGCUACACACGUGCUACAAUGGACAAUACAAAGGGCAGCGAAACCGCGAGGUCAAGCAAAUCCCAUAAAGUUGUUCUCAGUUCGGAUUGUAGUCUGCAACUCGACUACAUGAAGCUGGAAUCGCUAGUAAUCGUAGAUCAGCAUGCUACGAAGAAUACGUUCCCGGGUCU
This 1372-nucleotide ribosomal RNA is filed under the name uncultured bacterium. RNAcentral's name for it is "bacterial SSU rRNA". It matches the Rfam family "Bacterial small subunit ribosomal RNA", at positions 28 to 1381 of the family's 1533-position model. The record is from RNAcentral.